This 402-nucleotide ribosomal RNA is filed under the name uncultured microorganism. RNAcentral describes it as "bacterial SSU rRNA". It matches the Rfam family "Archaeal small subunit ribosomal RNA", at positions 330 to 738 of the family's 1478-position model. The record is from RNAcentral.
GUGCAGCAGUCGCGAAACUUUACAAUGUGCGAAAGCACGAUAAGGGAACUCUGAGUGCCUCCUAAGGAGGCUGUUCAGGUGUCUAAAAGCACCUGAAGGAAGGGCUGGGUAAGACCGGUGCCAGCCGCCGCGGUAACACCGGCAGCCCAAGUGGUAGCCACGUUUAUUGGGUCUAAAGCGUCCGUAGCCGGCUGGGUAAGUUCCUUGGGAAAUUUGGCUGCUUAACAGUCAAGCUUUCAGGGAAUACUGCCCGGCUUGGGACCGGGAGAGGUCAGAGGUACUCCAGGGGUAGGGGUGAAACCCAUUAAUCCUUGGGGGACCACCGGUAGCGAAGGCGUCUGACCAGACCGGGUCCGACGGUGAGGGACGAAGGCUAGGGGGCGCGAACCGGAUUAGAUACCC